AAUAAAGCACUCUGCGAUACCUUUGUCAGAUAAAAACUGACUUUGUCCCAUGUACACAUGCAAGCUGACAAUGAGCAGGCAUCUGAGGAUGCAUGAUAAUCAUACUGGAUUGUAUUUGGCAAGUAGCCGUCCAUUCCUUCCAUGACGAAGCUGGUAAUACAGAUCAUUGAACUCCUUUUUUUAAAACAAUAUUACUCCAAGAAGGCAAUGUUAUUAGUAGCUCAUGUCUUUAGAUAAUGGAAGACUAAAACAAGAUUAAUGACUGCAAUGACUGACUGGGAAGUGACAAUGUAUAAAUAGCUCCUGUACCUCAGGUUGUAUAUUAGCCUCACAUUCAGCAUCACAUCAUCCAUCAUCCAUGAAGGAAGCAUUCAGAUCCGCGCUGAAGCCACAGAAACAACACAAGCAUAUGGAAAGCAGCGGCGGCACAGCUUGAGCAUCCAGCCAUGGGUGGGGUGAGCCGUCAUAAACAACAUACCGGACACUGGCAUGUCCGCCGUCCCCAUAAGCCUCGGGGAUCUGGUUCGCUUACGCGCGCGUGGCCCAUCCAUCCUGGACGGUCUCAUCCUCCUGGCAGGCUUCGUCGGCGCACGAUGGAGCCGCCGCCAGCUCCUUGCUUUGUACCUCUUCGCCAUGCCGGCGUAAUGCUCAUCACGCUCCUCGUUUUUGCCUUUGUCGUCACCAGCGGUCCGGACGUGAGGCCCGAGGCUGUGGAGAGGCGUGGCCAGCAGAGAGGGGGCAUGCUGUUUCGCGCAAUCUCCGUGUGCGUUGAAGCUGCCGUCAUGAUCCCACCGUUAGAGAAAGUAUUGAAGUCAUGGAGCUGGGGAUCCCAACUCAUUGAAUUGAUUCCUCCAUACUUCACAUCUCAAUGAUUAUAUAUCCUAAUGAGAAAUGUAAAGAAACUUUCAAUUACUUACCUGUAUCAGAAAUAAAGCACUCUGCGAUACCUUUGUCAGAUAAAAACUGACUUUGUCCCAUGUACACAUGCAAGCUGACAAUGAGCAGGCAUCUGAGGAUGCAUGAUAAUCAUACUGGAUUGUAUUUGGCAAGUAGCCGUCCAUUCCUUCCAUGACGAAGCUGGUAAUACAGAUCAUUGAACUCCUUUUUUUAAAACAAUAUUACUCCAAGAAGGCAAUGUUAUUAGUAGCUCAUGUCUCUAGAUAAUGGAAGACUAAAACAAGAUUAAUGACUGCAAUGACUGACUGGGACGUGACAAUGUAUAAAUAGCUCCUGUACCUCAGGUUGUAUCUUAGCCUCACAUUCAGCAUCACAUCAUCCAUCAUCCAUGAAGGAAGCAUUCAGAUCCGCGUUGAACCCACAGAAACAACACAAGCAUAUGGAAAGCAGCGGCGGCACAGCUUGAGCAUCCAGCCAUGGGUGGGCUGAGCCAUGAGAAUCAACAUACCGGACACUGGCAUGUGCGCCGUCCCCGUAAGCCUCGGGGAUCUGGUUCGCUUACGCGCGCGUGGCCCGUCCAUCCUGGGCGGUCUCAUCCUCCUGGUAGCCUUCGUCGGCGCAUGAUGGAGCCGCCGCCAGCUCCUUGCAUUGUACCUCUUCGCCAUGCCGGCGUAAUGCUCAUCACGCUCCUCGUUUUUGCCUUUGCCGUCACCAGCGGUCCAGAGGUGAGGCCCGAGGCUGCGGAGAGGCGUGGCCAGCAGAGGGGGGGCGUGCUGUUUCGCCCAAUCUCUGUGUGCGCUGAAGCUGUCGUCAUGAUCCCACGGUUAGAGAAAGUAUUGAAGUCAUGGAGCUGGGGAUCCCAACUCAUUGAUUUGAUUCCUCCAAACUUCACAUCUCAAUGAUUAUAUAUCCUAAUGAGAAAUAUAAAGAAACUGUCAAUUACUUACCUGUAUCAGAAAUAAAGCACUCUGCGAUACCUUUGUCAGAUAAAAACUGACUUUGUCCCAUGCAUACAUGCAAGCUGACAAUGAGCAGGCAUCUAAGGAUGCAUGAUAAUCAUCCUAGAUUAUAUUUGGCAAGUAGCCGUCCAUUCCUUCCAUGACAAAGCUGGUAAUACAGAUCAUUGAGCACCUUUUUUUUAAACAAUAUUACUCCAAGAAGGCAAUGUUAUUAGUAGCUCAUGUCUCUACAUAAUGGAUGAAUAAAAUAAGAUUAAUGACUGCAAUGACUGACUGGGAAGUGACAAUGUAUAAAUAGCUCCUGUACCUUAGGUUGUAAUAGCCUCGCAUUCAGCAUCGCAUCAUCCAUCAUCCAUGAAGGAAGCCUUCAGAUCCGCGCAGAACCCACAGCAGACACAGAAACAACACAAGCAUAUGGAAAGCAGCGGCGGCACAGCUUGAGCAUCCAACCAUGGGUGGGGUGAGCCGUGAGAAACAACAUACCGGACACUGGCAUGUGCGCCGUCCCCGUAAGCCUCGGGGAUCUGGUUUGCUUACGCGCGCGUGGCCCGUGUAUCCUGGGCAGUCUCAUCCUCCUGGCAGGCUUCGUCGGCGAUGAUGGAGCCGCCGCCAGCUCCUUGCUUUGUACCUCUUCGCCAUGACGGCGUAAUGCUCAUCACGCUCCUCGUUUUUUCCUUUGCCGUCACCAGCAGUCUGGAGGUGAGGCCCGAGGCUGCGGAGAGGCAUGCCCAGCAGAGGGGGGGCGUGCUGUUUCGCCCAAUCUCCGUGUGCGCUGAAGCUGCCAUCACGAUCCCACCGUUAGAGAACGUAUUUAAGUCAUGGAGUUGGGGAUCCCAACUCAUUGAUUUGAUUCCUCCAAACUUCACAUCUCAAUGAUUAUAUAUCCUAAUGAGAAAUAUAAAGAAACUGUCAAUUACUUACCUGUAUUAGAAAUAAAGCACUCUGCAAUAUCUUUGUCAGAUAAAAACUGACUUUGUCCCAUGUACACAUGCAAGCUGGCAAUGAGCAGGCAUCUGAGGAUGCAUGAUAAUCAUCCUGGAUUAUAUUUGGCAAGUAGCCGUCCAUUCCUUCCAUUACGAAGCUGGUAAUACAGAUCAUUGAACUCCUUUUUUUUAAACAAUAUUACUCCAAGAAGGCAAUGUUAUUAGCAGCUCAUGUCUCUACAUAAUGAAAGACUAAAACAAGAUUAAUGACUGCAAUGACUGACUGGGAAGUGACAAUGUAUAAAUAGCUCCUGUACCUCAGGUUGUAUCUUAGCCUCGCAUUCAGCAUCACAUCAUCCAUCAUCCAUGAAUGAAGCCUUCAGAUCCGCGCUGAACCCACAGCAGACACAGAAACAACACAAGCAUAUGGAAAGCAGCGGCGGCAUAGCUUGAGCAUCCAGCCAUGGGUGGGGUGAGCCAUGAGAAACAACAUACCGGACACUGGCAUGUGCGUCGUCCCCGUAAGCCUCGGGGAUCUGGUUCGCUUACGCGUGCGUGGCCCGUCCAUCCUGGGCGGUCUCAUCCUCCUGGCAGGCUUCGUCGGCGCAUGAUGGAGCCGCCGCCAGCUCCUUGCUUUGUACCUCUUCGCCAUGCCGGCGUAAUGCUCAUCACGCUCCUCGUUUUUGCCUUUGCCGUCACCAGCGGUCCGGAGGUGAGGCCCGAGGCUGCGGAGAGGCGUGGCCAGCAGAGGGGGGGGGGCGUGCUGUUUCGCCCAAUCUCUGUGUGCGCUGAAGCUGUCGUCAUGAUCCCACCGUUAGAGAAAGUAUUCAAGUCAUGGAGCUGGGGAUCCGAACUCAUUGAUUUGAUUCCUCCAAACUUCACAUCUCAAUGAUUAUAUAUCCUAAUGAGAAAUAUAAAGAAACUGUCAAUUACUUACCUGUAUCAGAAAUAAAGCACUCUGCGAUACCUUUGUCAGAUAAAAACUGACUUUGUCCCAUGCAUACAUGCAAGUUGACAAUGAGCAGGCAUCUAAGGAUGCAUGAUAAUCAUCCUAGAUUAUAUUUGUCAAAUAGACGUCCAUUCCUUCCAUGACAAAGCUGGUAAUACAGAUCAUUGAGCACCUUUUUUUUAAACAAUAUUACUCCAAGAAGGCAAUGUUAUUAGUAGCUCAUGUCUCUACAUAAUGGAUGACUAAAACAAGAUUAAUGACUGCAAUGACUGACUGGGAAGUGACAAUGUAUAAAUAGCUCCUGUACCUCAGGUUGUAUCUUAGCCUCGCAUUCAGCAUCACAUCAACCAUCAUCCAUGAAGGAAGCCUUCAGAUCCGUGCAGAACCCACAACAGACACAGAAACAACACAAGCAUAUGGAAAGCAGCGGCGGCACAACUUGAGCAUCCAACCAUGGGUGGGGUGAGCCGUGAGAAACAACAUACCGGACACUGGCAUGUGCGCCGUCCCCGUAAGCCUCGGGGAUCUGGUUUGCUUACGUGGGCGUGGCCCGUCCAUCCUGGGCGGUCUCAUCCUCCUGGCAGGCUUCGUCGGCGAUGGAGCCGCCGCCAGCUCCUUGCUUUGUACCUCUUCGCCAUGCUGGCGUAAUGCUCAUCACGCUCCUCGUUUUUGCCUUUGCUGUCACCAGCGGUCCGGAGGUGAGGCCCGAGGCUGCGGAGAGGCAUGGCCAGCAGAGGGGGGGGUGCUGUUUCGCCCAAUCUCCGUGUGCGCUGAAGCUGCCGUCAUGAUCCCACCAUUAGAGAACGUAUUUAAGUCAUGGAGCUGGGGAUCCCAACUCAUUGGUUUGAUUCCUCCAAACUUCACAUCUCAAUGAUUAUAUAUCCUAAUGAGAAAUAUAAAGAAACUAUCAAUUACUUACCUGUAUUAGAAAUAAAGCACUCUGCGAUAUCUUUGUCAGAUAAAAACUGACUUUGUCCCAUGUACACAUGCAAGCUGGCAAUGAGCAGGCAUCUGAGGAUGCAUGAUAAUCAUCCUGGAUUAUAUUUGGCAAGUAGCCGUCCAUUCCUCCAUGACGAAGCUGGUAAUACAGAUCAUUGAACUCCUUUUUUUUAAACAAUAUUACUCCAAGAAGGCAAUGUUAUUAGUAGCUCAUGUCUCUACAUAAUGGAAGACUCAAACAAGAUUAAUGACUGCAAUGACUGACUGGGAAGUGACAAUGUAUAAAUAGCUCCUGUACCUCAGGUUGUAUCUUAGCCUCGCAUUCAGCAUCACAUCAUCCAUCAUCCAUGAAGGAAGCCUUCAGAUCCGCGCUGAACCCACAGUAGACACAGAAACAACACAAGCAUAUGGAAAGCAGCGGCGGCACAGCUUGAGCAUCCAGCCAUGGGUGGGGUGAGCCAUGAGAAACAACAUACCGGACACUGGCAUGUGAGCCGUCCCCGUAAGCCUCGGGGAUCUGGUUCGCUUACGCGCGCGUGGCCCCUCCAUCAUGGGUGGUCUCAUCCUCCUGGCAGGAUUCGUCGGCGCAUGAUGGAGCCGCCGCCAGCUCCUUGCUUUGUACCUCUUCGCCACGCCGGCGAAAUGCUCAUCACGCUCCUCGUUUUUGCCUUUGCCGUCAGCAGCGGUCCGGAGGUGAGGCCCGAGGAUCCGGAGAGGCGUGGCCAGCACAAGAGGGGGGCGUGCUGUUUCGCCCAAUCUCCGUGUGCGCUGAAGCUGCCGUCAUGAUCCCACCGUUAGAGAAAGUAUUGAAGUCAUAGAGCUGGGGAUCCCAACUCAUUGAUUUGAUUCCUCCAAACGUCACAUCUCAAUGAUUAUAUAUCCUAAUGAGAAAUAUAAAGAAACUGUCAAUUACUUACCUGUAUCAGAAAUAAAGCACUCUCCGAUAUCUUUGUCAGAUAAAAACUGACUUUGUCCCAUGUACACAUGCAAGCUGACAAUGAGCAGGCAUCUGAGGAUGCAUGAUAAUCAUCCUGGAUUAUAUUUGGCAAGUAGCCGUCCAUUCCUUCCAUGACGAAGCUGGUAAUACAGAUCAUUGAACUCCUUUUUUUAAAACAAUAUUACUCCAAGAAGGCAAUGUUAUUAGUAGCUCAUGUCUCUACAUAAUGGAAGACUAAAACAAGAUUAAUGACUGCAAUGACUGACUGGGAAGUGACAAUGUAUAAAUAGCUCCUGUACCUCAGGUUGUAUCUUAGCCUCGCAUUCAGCAUCACAUCAUCCAUCAUCCAUGAAGGAAGCCUUUAGAUCCGCGCAGAACCCACAGCAGACACAGAAACAACACAAGCAUAUGGAAAGCAGCGGCGGCACAGCUUGAGCAUCCAGCCAUGGGUGGGGUGAGCCGUGAGAAACAACAUAACGGACACUGGCAUGUGCGCCUUCCCCGUAAGCCUCGGGGAUCUAGUUUGCUUACGCGCGCGUGGCCCGUCCAUCCUGGGCGGUCUCAUCCUCCUGGCAGGCUUCGUCGGCGCAUGAUGGAGCCGCCGCCAGCACCUUGCUUUGUACCUCUUUGCCAUGCCGGCGUAAUGCUCANNNNNNNNNNNNNNNNNNNNNNNNNNNNNNNNNNNNNNNNNNNNNNNNNNNNNNNNNNNNNNNNNNNNNNNNNNNNNNNNNNNNNNNNNNNNNNNNNNNNNNNNNNNNNNNNNNNNNNNNNNNNNNNNNNNNNNNNNNNNNNNNNNNNNNNNNNNNNNNNNNNNNNNNCUCCGUGUGCGCUGAAGUUACCCUCAUGGUCCCACCGUUAGAGAAAGUAUUGAAGUCAUGGAGCUGGGGAUCCCAACUCAUUGAUUUGAUUCCUCCAAUCUUCACAUCUCAAUUAUUAUAUAUCCUAAUGAGAAAUAUAAAGAAACUGCCAAUUACUUACCUGUAUCAGAAAUAAAGCACUCUGCGAAACCUUUGUCAGAUAAAAACUGACUUUGUCCCAUGUACACAUGCAAGCUGACAAUGAGCAGGCAUCUGAGGAUGCAUGAUAAUCAUCGUGGAUUAUAUUUGGCAAGUAGCCCUCCAUUCCUUCCAUGACGAAGCUGGUAAUACAGAUCAUUGAACUCCUUUUUUUAAAACAAUAUUACUCCAAGAAGGCAAUGUUAGUAGUGGCUCAUGUCUCUACAUAAUGGAAGACUAAAACAAGAUUAAUGACUGCAAUGACUGACUGGGAAGUGACAAUGUAUAAAUAGCUCAUGUACCUCAGAUUGUAUCUUAGCCUCGCAUUAAAAAUCACAUCAUCCAUCAUCCAUGAAGGAAGCCUUCAGAUCCGCGCUGAACCCACAGCAGACACAGAAACAACACAAGCAUAUGGAAAGCAGCGGCGGCACAACUUGAGCAUCCAGCCAUGGGUGGGGUGAGCCGUGAGAAACAACUUACCGGACACUGGCAUGUGCGCCGUCCACGUAAGCCUCGGGGAUCUGGUUCACUUACGCGCGUGUGGCCCGUCCAUCCUGGGCGGUCUCAUCCUCCUGGCAGGCUUCAUCGGCGCAUGAUGGAGCCGCCGCCAGCUCCUUGCUUUGUACCUCUUCGCCAUGCCGGCGUAAUGCUCAUCACGCUCCUCGUUUUUGCCUUUGCCGUCACCAGCGGUCCGGAGGUGAGGCCCGAGGCUGCGGAGAGGCGUGGCUAGCAGAGGGGGGGGGGCGUGCUGUUUCGCCCAAUCUCCGUGUGCGUUGAAGCUGCCGUCACAAUCCCACAGGUAGAGAAAGUAUUGAAGUCAUGGAGCUGGGGAUCCCAACUCAUUGAUUUGAUUCCUCCAAACUUCACAUCCCAAUGAUUAUAUAUCCUAAUGAGAAAUAUAAAGAAACUGUCAAUUACUUACCUGUAUCAGAAAUAAAGCACUCUGCGAUACCUUUGUCAGAUAAAAACUGACUUUGUCCCAUGUACACAUGCAAGCUGACAAUGAGCAGGCAUCUGAGGAUGCAUGAGAAUCAUCCUGGAUUAUAUUCGGCAAGUAGCGGUCCAUUCCUUCCAUGACGAAGCUGGUAAUACAAAUCAUUGAACUCCUUGUUUUUAAACAAUAUUACUCCAAGAAGGCAAUGUUAUUAGUAGCUCAUGUCUCUACAUAAUGGAAGACUAAAACAAGAUUAAUGACUGCAAUGACUGACUGGGAAGUGACAAUGUAUAAAUAGCUCAUGUACCUCAGAUUGUAUCUUAGCCUCGCAUUAAAAAUCACAUCAUCCAUCAUCCAUGAAGGAAGCCUUCAGAUCCGCGCUGAACCCACAGCAGACACAGAAACAACACAAGCAUAUGGAAAGCAGCGGCGGCACAACUUGAGCAUCCAGCCAUGGGUGGGGUGAGCCGUGAGAAACAACUUACCGGACACUGGCAUGUGCGCCGUCCACGUAAGCCUCGGGGAUCUGGUUCACUUACGCGCGUGUGGCCCGUCCAUCCUGGGCGGUCUCAUCCUCCUGGCAGGCUUCAUCGGCGCAUGAUGGAGCCGCCGCCAGCUCCUUGCUUUGUACCUCUUCGCCAUGCCGGCGUAAUGCUCAUCACGCUCCUCGUUUUUGCCUUUGCCGUCACCAGCGGUCCGGAGGUGAGGCCCGAGGCUGCGGAGAGGCGUGGCUAGCAGAGGGGGGGGGGCAUGCUGUUUCGCCCAAUCUUCGUGUGCGUUGAAGCUGCCGUCACAAUCCCACAGGUAGAGAAAGUAUUGAAGUCAUGGAGCUGGGGAUCCCAACUCAUUGAUUUGAUUCCUCCAAACUUCACAUCCCAAUGAUUAUAUAUCCUAAUGAGAAAUAUAAAGAAACUGUCAAUUACUUACCUGUAUCAGAAAUAAAGCACUCUGCGAUACCUUUGUCAGAUAAAAACUGACUUUGUCCCAUGUACACAUGCAAGCUGACAAUGAGCAGGCAUCUGAGGAUGCAUGAGAAUCAUCCUGGAUUAUAUUCGGCAAGUAGCGGUCCAUUCCUUCCAUGACGAAGCUGGUAAUACAAAUCAUUGAACUCCUUGUUUUUAAACAAUAUUACUCCAAGAAGGCAAUGUUAUUAGUAGCUCAUGUCUCUACAUAAUGGAAGACUAAAACAAGAUUAAUGACUACAAUGACUGACCGGAAAGUGACAAUGUAUAAAUAGCUCCUGUACCUCAAGUUGUAUCUUAGCCUCGCAUUCAGCAUCACAUCAUCCAUCAUCCAUGAAGGAAGCCUUCAGAUCCACGCUGAACCCACAGCAGACACAGAAACAACACAAGCAUAUGGAAAGCAGCGGCGGCACAACUUGAGCAUCCAGCCAUGGGUGGGGUGAGCCGUGAGAAACAACUUACCGGACACUAGCAUGUGCGCCGUCCACGUAAGCCUCGGGGAUCUGGUUCACUUACGCGCGUGUGGCCCGUCCAUCCUGGGCGGUCUCAUCCUCCUGGCAGGCUUCAUCGGCGCAUGAUGGAGCCGCCGCCAGCUCCUUGCUUUGUACCUCUUCGCCAUGCCGGCGUAAUGCUCAUCACGCUCCUCGUUUUUGCCUUUGCCGUCACCAGCGGUCCGGAGGUGAGGCCCGAGGCUGCGGAGAGGCGUGGCUAGCAGAGGGGGGGGGCGUGCUGUUUCGCCCAAUCUUCGUGUGCAUUGAAGCUGCCGUCAUGAUCCCACAGGUAGAGAAAGUAUUGAAGUCAUGGAGCUGGGGAUCCCAACUCAUUGAUUUGAUUCCUCCAAACUUCACAUCCCAAUGAUUAUAUAUCCUAAUGAGAAAUAUAAAGAAACUGUCAAUUACUUACCUGUAUCAGAAAUAAAGCACUCUGCGAUACCUUUGUCAGAUAAAAACUGACUUUGUCCCAUGUACACAUGCAAGCUGACAAUGAGCAGGCAUCUGAGGAUGCAUGAGAAUCAUGCUGGAUUAUAUUCGGCAAGUAGCGGUCCAUUCCUUCCAUGACGAAGCUGGUAAUACAAAUCAUUGAACUCCUUGUUUUUAAACAAUAUUACUCCAAGAAGGCAAUGUUAUUAGUAGCUCAUGUCUCUACAUAAUGGAAGACUAAAACAAGAUUAAUGACUACAAUGACUGACCGGAAAGUGACAAUGUAUAAAUAGCUCCUGUACCUCAAGUUGUAUCUUAGCCUCGCAUUCAGCAUCACAUCAUCCAUCAUCCAUGAAGGAAGCCUUCAGAUCCACGCUGAACCCACAGCAGACACAGAAACAACACAAGCAUAUGGAAAGCAGCGGCGGCACAGCUUGAGCAUCCAGCCAUGGGUGGGGUGAGCCGUGAGAAACAACAUACCGGACACUAGCAUGUGCGCCGUCCCCGUAAGCCUCGGGGAUCUGGUUCGCUUACGCGCGCGUGGCCCGUCCAUCCUGGGCGGUCUCAUCCUCCUGGUAGGCUUCAUCGUCGCAUGAUGGAGCCACCGCCAGCUCCUUGCUUUGUACCUCUUCGCCAUGCCGGCGUAAUGCUCAUCACGCUCCUCAUUUUUGCCUUUGCCAUCACUAGCGGUCCGGAGGUGAGGCCCGAGGCUGCGGAGAGGCGUGGCCAGCAGAGGGGGGGGGCGUGCUGUUUCGCCCAAUCUCUGUGUGCGCUGAAGCUGUCGUCAUGAUCCCACCGUUAGAGAAAGUAUUGAAGUCAUGGAGCUGGGGAUCCCAACUCAUUGAUUUGAUUCCUCCAAACUUCACAUCCCAAUGAUUAUAUAUCCUAAUGAGAAAUGUAAAGAAACUGUCAAUUACUUACCUGUAUCAGAAAUAAAGCACUCUGCGAAACCUUUGUCAGAUAAAAACUGACUUUGUCCCAUGUACACAUGCAAGCUGACAAUGAGCAGGCAUCUGAGGAUGCAUGAGAAUCAUGCUGGAUUAUAUUCGGCAAGUAGCGGUCCAUUCCUUCCAUGACGAAGCUGGUAAUACAAAUCAUUGAACUCCUUUUUUUAAAACAAUAUUACUCCAAGAAGGCAAUGUUAUUAGUAGCUCAUGUCUCUACAUAAUGGAAGACUAAAACAAGAUUAAUGACUGCAAUGACUUACCGGGAACUGACAAUGUAUAAAUAGCUCCUGUACCUCAAGUUGUAUCUUAGCCUCGCAUUCAGCAUCACAUCAUCCAUCAUCCAUGAAGGAAGCCUUCAGAUCCACGCUGAACCCACAGCAGACACAGAAACAACACAAGCAUGUGGAAAGCAGCGGCGGCACAGCUUGAGCAUCCAGCCAUGGGUGGGGUGAGCCGUGAGAAACAACAUACCGGACACUAGCAUGUGCGCCGUCCCCGUAAGCCUCGGGGAUCUGGUUCGCUUACGCGCGCGUGGCCCGUCCAUCCUGGGCGGUCUCAUCCUCCUGGUAGGCUUCAUCGUCUCAUGAUGGAGCCACCGCCAGCUCCUUGCUUUGUACCUCUUCGCCAUGCCGGCGUAAUGCUCAUCACGCUCCUCAUUUUUUCCUUUGCCAUCACUAGCGGUCCGGAGGUGAGGCCCGAGGCUGCGGAGAGGCGUGGCCAGCAGAGGGGGGGCGUGCUGUUUCGCCCAAUCUCUGUGUGCGCUGAAGCUGUCGUCAUGAUCCCACCGUUAGAGAAAGUAUUGAAGUCAUGGAGCUGGGGAUUGAUUUGAUUCCUCCAAACUUCACAUCUCAAUGAUUAUAAAUCCUAAUGAGAAAUAUAAAGAAACUGUCAAUUACUUACCUGUAUCAGAAAUAAAGAACUCUGCGAUACCUUUGUCAGACAAAAACUGACUUUGUCCCAUGCAUACAUGCAAGCUGACAAUGAGCAGGCAUCCAAGGAUGCAUGAUAAUCAUCCUAGAUUAUAUUUGGCAAGUAGCCGUCCAUUCUUCCAUGACAAAGCUGGUAAUACAGAUCAUUGAGCACCUUUCUUUUAAACAAUAUUACUCCAAGAAGGCAAUGUUAUUAGUAGCUCAUGUCUCUACAUAAUGGAAGACUAAAACAAGAUUAAUGACUGCAAUGACUGACUGGGAAGUGACAAUGUAUGAAUAGCUCCUGUACCUUAGGUUGUAUCUUAGCCUCGCAUUCAGCAUCACAUCAUCCAUCAUCUAUGAAGGAAGCCUUCAGAUCCGCGCUGAACCCACAGCAGACACAGAAACAACACAAGCAUAUGGAAAGCAGCGGCAGCACAGCUUGAGCAUCCAGCCAUGGGUGGGGUGAGCAGUGAGAAACAACAUACCGGACACUGGCAUGUGCGCCAUCCCCGUAAGCCUCGGGGAUCUGGUUCGCUUACGCGCGCGUGGCCCGUCCAUCAUGGGCGGUCUCAUCCUCCUGGCAGUCUUCGUCGGCGCAUGAUGUAGCCGCCGCCAGCUCCUUGCUUUGUACCUCUUCGCCAUGCCGGCGUAAUUCUCAUCACGCUCCAUGUUUUUGCCUUUGCCGUCACAAGCGGUCCGGAGGUGAGGCCCGAGGCUGCGGAGAGGCGUGGCCGGCAGAGGGGGGGCGUGCUGUUUCGCCCAAUCUCCGUGUGCGCUGAAUCUGCCGUCACGAUCCCGCCGUUAGAGAAAGUAUUGAAGUCAUGGGGCUGGGAUCCCAACUCAUUGAUUUGAUUCCUCCAAACUUCACAUCCCAAUGAUUAUAUAUCCUAAUGAGAAAUAUAAAGAAAGUGUCAAUUACUUACCUGUAUCAGAAAUAAAGCACUCUGCGAUACCUUUGUCAGAUAAAAACUGACGUUGUCCCAUGUACACAUGCAAGCUGACAAUGAGCAGGCAUCUGAGGAUGCAUGAUAAUCAUCCUGGAUUAUAUUUGGCAAGUAGCCCUCCAUUCCUUCCAUGACGAAGCUGGUAAUACAGAUCAUUGAACUCCUUUUUUUAAAACAAUAUUACUCCAAGAAGGCAAUGUUAUUAGUAGCUCAUGUCUCGACAUAAUGGAAGACUAAAACAAGAUUAAUGACUGCAAUGACUGACUGGGAAGUGACAAUGUAUAAAUAGCUCCUGUACCUCAGGUUGUAUCUUAGCCUCGCAUUCAGCAUCACAUCAUCCGUCAUCCACGAAGGAAGCCUUCAGAUCCGCGCUGAACCCACAGCAGACACAGAAACAACACAAGCAUAUGGAAAGCAGCGGCGGCACAACUUGAGCAUCCAGCCAUGGGUGGGGUGAGCCGUGAGAAACAACAUACCGGACACUAGCAUGUGCGCCGUCCCCGUAAGCCUCGGGGAUCUGGUUCGCUUACGCGCGCGUGGCCUGUCCAUCCUGGGCGGUCUCAUCCUCCUGGCAGGCUUCAUCGGCGCAUGAUGGAGCCGCCGCCAGCUCCUUGCUUUGUACCUCUUCGCCAUGCCGGCGUAAUGCUCAUCACGCUCCUCAUUUUUGCCUUUGCCAUCACCAGCGGUCCGGAGGUGAGGCCCGAGGCUGCGGAGAGGCGUGGCCAGCAGAGGGGGGGUGCUGAUUCGCCCAAUCUCCGUGUGCGCUGAAGCUGCCGUCACGAUCCCACCAUUAGAGAAAGUAUUGAAGUCAUGGAGCUGGGGAUCCCAACUCAUUGAUUUGAUUCCUCCAAACUUCACAUCUCAAUGAUUAUAUAUCCUAACUAGCAUAGUGGCCCGCUCGAUGCGCGGGCUAGAAUUUCAUAUAGAUUUUUUUCGUCAUGAAAACAUAUUAGUAUUUGAUUUCUUUAAAGAAAAAGUUGGAGACAAAUAUGAUGAAAUUUAUGAAUAUACGACUUUUGCGAUCAUAGUUUCGUCUUAGGUAUGCUUGCUUUUUAAUUCAUAUACGAAAAUAUAUACUCCCUCCGUCCAAAAUUCUUGUCUUAGAUUCGUCUAGAUACGGAUGUAUUUAAUACUAAAACGUGACUUGAUACAUCUGUAUUUAGACAAAUCUACGACAUGAAUUUUGGGACGGAGGGAGUAUGUUAUCAAUUUAUCAUUUACUUGCUAAUUAUGCAUAUUGUGCAACUGUAUUUUAUGAUCACUUGUGUUGUCGAAAAUUAUAUUCGUAUGAUAUUUCUUGCAUUGUUACAUUCAAAUUUUUAGCACAAAUUUAAUAGUUCCAUUUUUCUAGGUAGGCAUAGCUAAAUGUGCUAAUGUUGUGCAAGAUUGACAUUUUUUAUUUUAGUGUUUUUGAAUGUAAGUGAAAUAAAUUAGUUUAUGGAGUUAAUUUCAUUUUUUAUACUAUAUAGAAACAUUCAAACUUCCGUGUUAUUUAUUUGUUUGCAUGAUCAUUUGACAUACCUAUGUUAGGACACUGUGCACUAAGAUGGACCAAUGUUUACUCAGGUUUUCACUUUAGCAAAGUUUUUUUUAACAUUGUACACAACUUUCUAAAAUAACAAUAUCAACCUAAUUACUAUUUUUAAAUCGUUGACACUACUAUGUGCAGAGCGGCAUUGGUAUCACGGAUCCCACCCGAUUAAUCCUUCGCUUUCCUCUUUCUGGAGACUUCUUGUCUUCUUAGUGGCUCCCAGCCUUGGAAGUAUCCGAUCCAAGAUUGAUUCACGGCAUGAGAGGAUUACUCUGGAAGCUCCCCUGUUUUUCCUUGUUGGUCGCCCUGACGUGCACACACUCCGUGGCUUAGGUCCAGUGUACCGCCAUGGAUUGUCCUUCUAUGGCAACGUCAUUGGCCCCUCAUGCACUUGGUCGAUCUCCCUUAGAUUUCUAUCAGCCAACGCUCAUAGUCUCUGAUCCAAAACGUCAACAAAGAAUGCUCCUAGUAGCAUUACCACUUCGCCAGUGGCGAAAGCAAAUUUUUCACGGCGAUCAUGCGGGGUAAAUUAGAAUAGAUACCUUAAACACAAUAUGUCAAUACAAAGACUAUGCAUAUUAUUUUAGUCGUGUGCUCUUCUCUCUGUUAGUACAGGACCAUGCCAAUCUAAUGGUUAUUGAUCCAGUGUUGAUUCCAUAUGCAUAGAUUUUGUAUUGAGCAUAGUUAGAUAAUAUCGAGGUCUUCGUAUAAUCUUAACAUUUUUUUGGUUGAAAAAGAAUCAUACCUAUAAACUAUGUAUAGUGUCACAUAGCAUAAAUCUGGCCUAAAAUGGAAAUUAUGAUUCGAAAGAAUCUACAAUGAAUCAUUUAGCUAAUAUUUUGUAAAUAAUUUGUAGUUUGUUCACUGAAAUAAGUAUAACUUUAAUCUACAAAGGCAUGAUGCAUUAAACAACUCCAAAUAAAAAGCCUUGCCAAAGCAAAAUUCCAGAGAUGCGCAUUCAAACAACUGGUACUUAAAUUUCAAAGAUCUUCCUGGACAUAUGCCACCAAAAAAACAUCUCUUUUUGUAGAUUCGGCAAAACAAUUCUUUGUUCCUUUAAUACCAUCAUAUUUUUAAUGGAAUAAGAAAACAAACUACAAAAUCCACAUGCUACAAAAAAGUGAUUUUAUUUUCUCGUGCGCUUUUUCUAUCCUAGAUCUCUAACCGGUUAAUCAUAUUGUGCUCUCAGGAAACAAUUAAUGAAAAACUGCAUAGUUCAUUGAAAUAUAAUGCUACAACAAUACCUUGGCUACAAAUAUGAAUGCAAAAGUAUCCGGAAAACAUGGAUAAGUUAUAGAACCAAAUAGAUAGACUCACAAAAGAAUUUAUGGCCCUUCACACAAAGUGAAACCUAGAAGUAGGUAACAAACGCCUAAAAAAGGAGAAUGAAGCACGUUAGAUACUGGUAUAUAUUUCUAUAACCUGAACGACAAAAGGCUUAGUCAGAUAGAAAAUUCCAUUACAGCUAGGAAUCAUAUUUUAUAUCACUUCAGUAAAAACUAAGCUAAGUCGCAAAUGAAUGUAAGAUGAUAAACCGUUUCUUGCUAGCUAAUUUAUGAAACAACUUAUCUCCGUAGAAUGGAACUGUAGUAUAUGAAAUAAUAAAUAGGCAAGGAGUACUAAAUCCGUGCUUAACUUAAACUGAAGGUCUGCUAUGCAAAACUAACAUGCACAACAACAGUAUAUUUGCAUUUCCCUUGUCGUUAUUUCCACAUGUUCUUGGAGGAAUGCUUUUCCUUUGCUUUUUUUUCAUGUGAUGUCUUGAAAUACAAAGAACUGCAUGAUGGUAACACAACCUUCACGUUUUGAAACCUGCAUGCCUUAGCUAGAUCGUACCUUUAUAAUAAAAUCUAAUAAAUCCUUUAGUUCAGCUUAGCAAUUCCCAGUUCAGGAUGCAGGCGGACGUGAUAUGCUAGGGCUCUUGGUUAGUGUAUUAGCUCAGCAACAUAAUAAUUGUGGAGAUAAACAUGAGAUUGAAAGCUAGUAAAACAAUUGCUAGUUCAUCUACAUUUACUGAGAAUCUACAUCUACUUUUGACUGAAGGGGCACUGUCCCCAACUUUGUCACAGAUUGAAUUGACCUGUAGGCUAAGAUCAGGAGACCUAAGGAAAUUUCAGAAUUCUGGUUACAACAAAGCUGUACCAAUAAGCGUACAUGAAGUGUCGUACCAACUAUUGCUGAACUUGGGUAUCUACAGUAAACAAAAGUACACUGAUUUGAGUGUUGUUAUGUAAAAAGGAUCAAACUGGUCUAGCUAAAUCAGCUGUGUUACAAACCUUCGGCAUGCUAGAGGUUAUGGCACCCACUUUGUUAUUUUCCUUGUUGCACGUGCUUGCAAACACUGCCCGAAAGAACUGUUCCACAAAGACCUCAACAAAGCCAUGUUCAGAGAACCAAUCUGAAACUGAAAGAACUCUUCCACAAGACCACAACAUAUCCAUGUUCAGAGCACCAAUGUAAAACUGAAACUUAUUCUCCAUCCAUGUGCAGACCAAAACACUAUAAAUACAUGUUCCAUACAUAUUACUGUUACAUGGAUCCCAUUAUCAGCACAUCUCUUCUAUGUUCUUCAAUGUUGAUUACUGGAAUAUCAUACAUGUAUAAUUCAUAAGAAAGCAACGGAUGGCUCAAACAAUUAGAUAACUUAGAAGACAAUGUACUGCUUGAUGCAUGCAGCAAUUUUAUGUUACAUAGGAACAGAGAGAGGAAUUAGAAGAAGAUAUACGUACUCCUGAGUCUAGACCAAUACCUAGAACCUUGAGCCUAUAAUGAUUUUUUCUUGCCGGAUAUGGAUGGAGAACUACAGCCAACAAACACAUCGUGAGAAAACACGGAUAAGUAACAGUAUUACUAUGCCUUGUAAUCCACCUUGCUACAGAGCUGAGGAAAACUUAGCUGCUUCCUCAGGAUCGAUACAAUUAUCUGAAGACUGGUAUGUAUAUGUUUGCACGAAUCUCUAUUUAUUUCUCAUCUCUCCCUAUACAAUUAUCUGAUUUCAAGCGAUUAAGGAGAGAAAUAGACGAACUUACUGUGGUUUGCCACUGGGUCAGCUGUACUGAUUCCUGACAUCAUAUUUCACGGUUCAGAUCCAGCAUCCUCUUUUCCUAAAUCAAACAAAAAAAAGUGGGAUCUCCGGUCUAUCAGCCAGGAAGCAAAACUACUCGAAUAGGAGGAUUUAAGAAGGACAACGAUCUCAGAAUCGAGAAGACGUCUGGGAGAGAACACUUGCGUGCCCAAUGGAGGUAUCCUGUGGAGAUUCAUGUGGCAACGGCCGACCGAGUUGUGCGGAUGCAUCUGUCAUCAUAGUCGCCUAUCCUCUUAGAUUGGAAAAGGAUCAUCAAACGCCUAGGCAAGCAUGUGACUUCAAUGCCUCCUCGGUGGUGCCGUGGUGCUCAAGAGAAAUCCCCUGAGGGCAGGCCAUUGGGAGAGCACGUGAUGGAGGAGUUAGGAAUGGGUCGAGCCGUCGAGGUUCCAAUUCUGUAGAGAAGGAUGUUCCUUCGGCAAUGUUGUGUUGAUGCAGGAUGUGGAGCAUGGCGGCGGCGGCGGCUUGAAGUGUCAAGAGGUUAGGGCUCUGUGCGUUUUCUUUUCAUGGGGAGGUCUCGUGGGUCAUUUUUUUUAACUCGUGACCUUUUUCUUUGGGAAGGCUCGUGGGAUUUUUGUACAUCGGCAAGAAACGUGGGUCAUUUUUUUUUUUGAGGAAACGUGGGUCAUUGGGAAAGAGAGGUAAGUUUUUCUUUUCUUUUCUUGUUAUGUUGAAGAGUUAUUUUAUGUAAUGGCACUAGUGGGUAAUUUUCGCUGAUUUAUGUUGCAAAACAAAUUGUCUCCAUCGAACGGUUAUGUUUUCUUUUCCUAUGAAUUAAAUGGCCAGAUCUAUCUAAUUAUUAUGGGAUUUUCUAAAAUAUUUUCUUUUUUCUAGUGAUCCCAUCAAAUACGUUUUAUAUAUAAUAGAUGAGAAAUAUAAAUAAACUGUCAAUUACUUACCUGUAUCAGAAAUAAAGCACUCUGCGAUACCUUUGUCAGAUAAAAACUGACUUUGUCCCAUGUACACAUGCAAGCUGACAAUGAGCAGGCAUAUGAGGAUGCAUGAUAAUCAUCCUGGAUUAUAUUUGGCAAGUAGCCGUCCAUUCCUUCCAUGACGAAGCUGGUAAUACAGAUCAUUGAACUCCUUUUUUUAAA
Molecule: long non-coding RNA, 17924 nt
Filed under: Triticum aestivum (bread wheat)
Lineage: Eukaryota; Viridiplantae; Streptophyta; Magnoliopsida; Poales; Poaceae
Description: long non-coding RNA (TAES_LNC017422)
Rfam family: MIR1120/MIR1122 microRNA precursor family (bases 13288-13421)
Source: RNAcentral